AGCAGUCGCCACGGUAAAACGAAGGGUGCAAGCGUUACUCGGAAUUACUGGGCGUAAAGCGUGCGUAGGUGGUGGUUUAAGUCCGUUGUGAAAGCCCUGGGCUCAACCUGGGAAUUGCAGUGGAUACUGGGUCACUAGAGUGUGGUAGAGGAUAGUGGAAUUUCCGGUGUAGCAGUGAAAUGCGUAGAGAUCGGAAGGAACAUCUGUGGCGAAGGCGACUAUCUGGGCCAACACUGACACUGAGGCACGAAAGCGUGGGGAGCAAACAGGAUUAGAUACCCGUGUAGCCUGUCUCUUAUACAC
This 303-nucleotide ribosomal RNA is filed under the name uncultured bacterium. Its description in RNAcentral is "partial 16S ribosomal RNA". It matches the Rfam family "Bacterial small subunit ribosomal RNA", at positions 507 to 809 of the family's 1533-position model. The record is from RNAcentral.